UACGAAGGGGGCUAGCGUUGCUCGGAAUCACUGGGCGUAAAGCGCACGUAGGCGGCUUCUUAAGUCAGGGGUGAAAUCCUGGAGCUCAACUCCAGAACUGCCUUUGAUACUGGGAGGCUCGAGUCCGGGAGAGGUGAGUGGAACUGCGAGUGUAGAGGUGAAAUUCGUAGAUAUUCGCAAGAACACCAGUGGCGAAGGCGGCUCACUGGCCCGGUACUGACGCUGAGGUGCGAAAGCGUGGGGAGCAGACAGG
This 253-nucleotide ribosomal RNA is filed under the name uncultured bacterium. RNAcentral's name for it is "partial 16S ribosomal RNA". It matches the Rfam family "Bacterial small subunit ribosomal RNA", at positions 524 to 776 of the family's 1533-position model. The record is from RNAcentral.